GCCUCGGUAGCUCAGCCUGGCUAGAGUUAUAACAUAAUGGUUAAAGCGCUUCCUUGGUAAGGAAGAGGUCGCGGGCCCGAAUCCCGCCCGAGGCU
This 95-nucleotide transfer RNA is filed under the name Nitrososphaerota archaeon. RNAcentral describes it as "Thaumarchaeota archaeon tRNA-Thr". It matches the Rfam family "tRNA". Rfam says of the family: Transfer RNA (tRNA) molecules are approximately 80 nucleotides in length. Lineage: Archaea; Thermoproteati; Nitrososphaerota. The record is from RNAcentral.